Long non-coding RNA from Triticum urartu, 3616 nucleotides. RefSeq lists it as uncharacterized. NCBI's taxonomy places the organism in Eukaryota, Viridiplantae, Streptophyta, Magnoliopsida, Poales, Poaceae. The record is from RefSeq and is a predicted model, not a curated record.
CAAUUGAAUAAAGACACGGCUUCCUUCCAUGCUCCUCGAUCUGUACGGUAUGGCGCCGCCGCCGGCCCGCCGGUCUUCUUCUCCGGCCGUCAGUGCCCUCUUUUCCUUCCCCUCAAUAUCCGCUCCUAAUCUUCUCCGGCGUCUCCCGCAGUCUCCUCAAUCUCCAACCUCUUGCUCCAGUGCUGUUCUUCUCUGAUUUGGAUCGAGUUGGAGUCCGUCUCCAACACAAAAUCAUGGAGUGCCCGAGCCGGAUUGGACUUGCCGGCCAUAAGAAGGAAGGAUCCUCCACUGCUUGCCUGCCUUGCGCCUCCCGGCGUUCUCGCGUCGCGGCUCGACCUGGCCCUUGCCCUGUCUCUCGCCAUCGGCUGCCAGGUCAGAGACCUCGCCUCGGUCCUCCUUCUUAGCGCCUGGGUCGCCAGCCACGCUCAGCCCCCUCCUUGGCUUCGAUCUGAUGGCCCUUCCCCAACCUCCUCGACCUCGACAGAUCCGGGAGGCCGCUGCUCGGUCAGGAAGGUGUGUUGUGAUGUCUGAAGUCCUCUUACUUCCACUAAGUUUCAGGUUUAACCUCUGUAUAAUCUCAACUCAAGCAAGUUUCGCGCAGCAAUUGAGGAGGCUUUCCUAGCCCAGCUUGUUUUUCUGAACUCCAAAUAGGUGGGUUUUUCUCUCUCUCGAGUAGUUUGUGGAUGAGCUUCCAUGUAUAGGCUUUGCUGACUACAGUUUUUUAAGGAUUAGAAAAUACAGAGUAUUCCUGUCCUGAUUGUACACAAGAGAAUAAUGAUAGUUGAACCUCGAAGGGGCAUAUGUGCUAGAGCGGCGGAAGCUUGUGAAGCCAUGGUCUGUGAUCUGCAGAUAUAUAGUAGGAACAAGUGCGAUUUGGAUUUCCUUUUUGUUUGUCUUAUGUGUCGCUUUGAGAUGAUGAGGCCGAGAUAUGGCCUUGCUGCUGUGCGUCAGAACCAUGGCUCGAAUGUGUGUUCCAGCCUCUAUCAGACCUGGCCUCUAAGCAUAUACUUCCAGUUUAGUUCAAUAAAGGAAAGCUUUCUCUUCAUGGUUUGCUCCUUAUGAUUCAAGAAGGAAGACCACUAGACACUUUUCUAUAAUUAGGUGAUGUAGUGAACCUUCAUCUUGCAGUCAAAUUGCUUACAUAUACUGCCUCUUCAUUUGCACCGUCGAAAAUUGCACAUGGGCUGAUUCAGACUUUGAGGGUUCAGAAAACAGCUUGAAGAGCCAAUCGGUAUGAAGGUGUUGCUCCUUUGUACCAGAUCGUAAAUAGAAGGGGACAUGGUUCAGAUUUGUGACUAUUGUGUGCUCUUGGACAGCCGAGGGAGUGGGUGUCAGAAGAGGGACGUUGGUGGUGUUCGAGAUGUAUCGGUGGUCAGCUGUUGGCAGGGCCCUCAUGGAGACACUGGACAAGAUGGUGCUCAGUGGUGUGCUCAGCCCCAAGCUCGCCUUAAGCAUCCUCCUGCAGUCCGUCCAUGAGAGGUUGGAGCACCAGGUCUAGCAAGGCAUUCUUCAAGUAAUUCAUCUCAUCCAGUAGGUUGAUUGUUUUUUUGGUAAGUCAUCUCAUCCAGUAGCUUGAUAGUAGGGCUGGUUUCUAUUGGUGCAUUACUUCGUAAAGAAAAUAAAUCACAUUGCAUUUACCCAAUGAUUUUUGUCCAGAACCAAUCAUAUUAUUUCUUUUCUACGAGUACUAUAUAUGUUGAUUAUUCAGAGGUCUCAUCUUCUUGAGACUUGCAAAGGUAAGACGUACGAAGAAUGAGAGAUGGUGCAAGUUUCUUAAGUUUAUCAUCCCAUUGAAGCAUCACAAAAUGCAAGUAGUACUAUUCAAAGGGGUGAAGAAAUAACAUGCUAAUCAUUUUUAGAGGGCAAACUAGCUACCAUUUUUUUAAAUGGAGUGUGGCAUUGACCUCUGAGUCUGGAGCAAUUGUACUAAAAGUGUUUGAUAUUAACAAGUGACAACUAGCCAGACUGGUUACAUGUGAUGCGCUCCCUAGAGGCGCAACAGAGGCGAUAAACUCUUAGGUAUUUUUGGUAAAAUAAAUUUGUUCUUCUGUACAUUUUGUUGUACGAGCUAAAACAUGGCAAUUUAGACAAACAACACACUUCAGCCUCUGCUUAUAAUUGGAUUAAAGAUGCACAUCUGCCUUUUCUUGCGUUGUGCUCAGAGCAUAGAAUUUCAUUCUGUUAAUUCAUUGAUCGUGGCAGGAUUUAAACUUCUACAGGAAAUUAGUAGUGAUUGUUUGUACUGCAUUUCAAAGUUAGAACUAAAGGAGACACGGGCGUGACAAUUACACCAUUUGAAGGUCUAUCUUUUGCACAAUCUGAAUUUAUUAUUGUGUUGGCGAGCUAUGAAAGAACGGUGGUGCUGCAGCACUGAGGUACGUAUAUUACUUGCAAUGACAUGCAUUUGAUGGCCACCUUUACAGAAGCUCCUCUCUGGAAACAAGGAGCAAAUGACUAUUAUUUGAAAUAUGUUGUGCAUUAUUAUUUUUGGUUAUGUUCCAAAAUCCUAGAUGCAUAGCAAAGCACAUUAGUGGAUAUAUGAAUCAUUUUUGUCUACUGAUUCUUGUUCAAUUACUUUUAUGAAAGGCAAGGGUAUGCACUUUUCACUAUCAAUCUUGGAGUAAGACGCCUGCAUGUGAGGAGUAGUUGAUGAAAGCUAUUGGUUACCACACCUCUUAUUAGUGCCAAGUUGUAGCAUCUGAAUUGCUGUGGUGUUCUUUCAUAGUCUUUCUUAGCUUUAUUUAUUUUCCAUUGAUUGCUGACCUAGUGUUGUAAUUUCCCAUAACUGCAAACUAUCGGGCUAACAUAUUGGCAUCUGCCAGUAUUGCCCUUCAUAUGGAAAGACUGAAAAUGCUGAAGAACUGCCUGGCAAGCAUAUUGGCAGUAGACUUUCGGUGAGACUUCAGUUUCCAUCAUCAAAGUGCUCGUAAGAUUAGUUAAGUAGAAAAUGUUUUAUUAAAGGACUCAUAAAGCUUAUUUGGAAUUGGAUGAGGUUACUUUAUGGAACAACAACGUGUGAUAUGCUAAGUAAUAAACGGUUACAUAAGUUCAUUCAGGAGUUCACCAUCAAUUUGCUAUGGUUAUCAUAAGUCAUGGACUACUAAUGAUAUAAAUCUACAUAUUGACCUCUUAUUAUACCCUGAGUGCCAUCAAUUUCAAGAGAAUAACGAGGCAUGCUACCUGCUUUAUUCUUCCUUGCAUAACUAUAUAUGCAGCUGGACUUUAUCAUUUGUCACACUGAUUUAUACAGUGUAAUUAUGUAGCCACCCAUUGCGUCAAAACGAGCCUUCCUUGGUCCAGGGAGAUAGAGAAGGUGGCUCGUUCGCAAGUUCAAGCUGGCCAUGAGCGACGCUCUUAGUCGCUCCCAGCAAUGCACUGCGUGUUGGCUGGGAUCUUACCCAGAUAGUAUCUCCAGUACUGUAAUGGCAGAUUAUACUCCUGAUUAGUUGAGUGAUACAAUUUCUUUCCAAUUUUUUUUUGUUUUAGCCCAUGGUUAUUUGGUUAAAGAUUGUUAUGUUUUUUGUUCUCCCGUUGCAACGCACGAGCAUUUGUGCUAGUAAUCUACAAAACACAGUACAACGGCAGGUAUUGAGUCCUCCCUGUUGAUCGCCUCUUA